UUGGGAGCAUUGCCUCCGUUCCAUAGGCCAAUUUGAAGGGAGUUUCUCCGGUGCUUGUCCGAGGACUAGUUCGGUAUGACCAGAGGACAUGAGGUAGUUCUUCUGGCCACUUGCUCUUGCUUUCUUCAAGCCUUUUUUCAAUUCCUCUCAGGAGGAUCCGGUUGGUGACCUCUACCUGGCCAUUUCCUUGAGGAUAGGCGACUGAAGACUUCUUGUGCUUGAUGCCUCUUUCAGCCAGGUAGUUUUCAAAGUCCGAACCUAUGAACUGGGGUCCAUUAUCUGAGACCAGGACUCUCGGUAGCCCGAAUCUCAUCAGGAUGUUGUCCAUGAACCGGAUGACAUCUUGCUGGUUGAUGGUCCGCAUUGCCUUGGCUUCAACCCACUUGGUCAUAUAAUCAAUGGAGACAAGCAAGUAUCUGAGGUCUCCUUUAGCCCGGGGAAAGGGUCCCAUGAUGUCUAUUCCCCAUACAGCAAAGGGGAUCGGGGAUAAAACUGAGGAAGGUAGGACAGGGCUUACCCGGGGCACGUUGCUGAACAGCUGACAGUUCUUGCAUCUUUUCACAAAUUCCAUAGCGUCUUGGUGUAUAGUUGGCCAGUAGUAGCCUUGCCGGAUGAUUUUAUAUGCCAGGCCUUUUGCCGACAUGUGAUCUCCACAGAUCCCUUCGUGAACUUCUCUUAGACAAUAUUCGGCCUCCUCCGGACCUAUGCAUUUCAGGAUUGGGGAUGAGUAGGUCCGGCGGAAGAGUGUUCCUUCUUCGACAAAAAAUUUGGCCGCCUUAGCUUUCAGCCGUUGUGCUUUUCCCUUGUCUUCAGGUAACUCUCCCUUCUCUAUGUAGUUGAUCAGGGGAGUCAUCCAGGUAGGGUUGUUGUUGAUUUCGAAAAUUUCUUCAUGAUCUAUUGUUGGCUUGUGCAAUUCCGCGAAAUAGACUGAGCUAUCCAGGUCUGCUGAAUUUUGGACCAACCUGGAGAGGUUGUCUGCUUCAGCAUUUUCUUCCCUGUUGACUUGCAAGAUCUUGCACCCGGGGAUCAGAGUGAGGUAGCCUUUUACAAAGGCCUGAUACUUGGUCAGGAUCGGGUCUUUGGCAAGGUACUCCCCAUUGGUCUGUCUGACCACGAUCUGGGAAUCACUGUAGAUGGUGAGGUUCCGGAUUGACAAGGUCCGGACCAACCUCAAUCCCGCUAAUAGGGCUUCAUACUCUGCUUGAUUGUUGGUUGCUGCGAAGUUGAAAGAGAUUGCUGUUUUGAUGGUGAACCCAUCCGGGCUCUUCAGGAUUAGCCCGGCUCCUGACCUUUCGGUUGUUGAGGAACCGUCGACAUGGAGUAUCCAAGACCCCGGGUUAGACUCUACCGGGGUUCCAGGUUCGGUUUCUAUGGGAGUUGUUUGAUUUUCUGGGAAGUUGCAUUCCACUACGAAGUCUGCCAGGACCUGGGCUUUGGCUGCUGUCGGGGGUAGAAACGUUAGGCUGAACUGGCUAAGUUCGAUUGCCCAGUUCACCAGUCUCCCGGAGAUGUCUGGCUUGUGAAUGAUUUUCCUUAGCGGUUGGUCUGUGACAAUCCUGAUUUCUCUUCCUUGGAAGUAAUGUCUGAGUAUUCUGGAUGCGGUGAUCAGUGCGAAAGCAAAUUUCUCUAUCUUGUGCUUGAUGCCUCUUUCAGCCAGGUAGCUUUCAAAGUCUGACCCUAUGAACUGGGGUCCAUUAUCUGAGACCAGGACUCUUGGUAGCCCGAAUCUCAUCAGGAUGUUGUCCAUGAACCGGAUGACAUCUUGCUGGUUGAUCGUCCGCAUUGCCUUGGCUUCAACCCACUUGGUCAUAUAAUCAAUGGAGACAAG
This 1828-nucleotide long non-coding RNA is filed under the name Daucus carota (carrot). RNAcentral's name for it is "long non-coding RNA (DCAR_LNC001801)". Lineage: Eukaryota; Viridiplantae; Streptophyta; Magnoliopsida; Apiales; Apiaceae. The record is from RNAcentral.